AGAGUUUGAUCCUGGCUCAGAGCGAACGCUGGCGGCAGGCUUAACACAUGCAAGUCGAGCGCCCCGCAAGGGGAGCGGCAGACGGGAGAGUAACACGUGGGAACGUACCCUUCAGUUCGGAACAACCCAGGGAAACUUGGGCUAAUACCGAAUACGUCCGUAAGGAGAAAGAUUUAUCGCUGAAGGAUCGGCCCGCGUCUGAUUAGCUAGUUGGUGGGGUAAUGGCCCACCAAGGCGACGAUCAGUAGCUGGUCUGAGAGGAUGAUCAGCCUCACUGGGACUGAGACACGGCCCAGACUCCUACGGGAGGCAGCAGUGGGGAAUAUUGGACAAUGGGGGCAACCCUGAUCCAGCCAUGCCGCGUGGGUGAUGAAGGCCUUAGGGUUGUAAAGCCCUUUCGGCGGGGAAGAUAAA
This 414-nucleotide ribosomal RNA is filed under the name uncultured soil bacterium. RNAcentral's name for it is "bacterial SSU rRNA". It matches the Rfam family "Bacterial small subunit ribosomal RNA", at positions 8 to 452 of the family's 1533-position model. The record is from RNAcentral.